RNAcentral lists this unclassified non-coding RNA (239 nucleotides) under Mortierella turficola. Its description in RNAcentral is "partial internal transcribed spacer 2". The record is from RNAcentral. Lineage: Eukaryota; Fungi; Mortierellomycota; Mortierellomycetes; Mortierellales; Mortierellaceae.
AACAUCUCAAAUCUCUCUUCGCUUGCGUCGAGAGAAUUGGAUUUGAGCGAUCCCGACUCCUUCAUCAGAAAGAGGAGGGUCGCUUGAAAUGCAGGUGCAGCUGGACAUUCUUCUGAGCUAAAAGCAUAUCUAUUUAGUCCCGUCAAACGGAUUAUUACUUUUGCUUCAGCUAAUAUAAAGGUUGAAUGAACUACCAACGCUGAUUGCAGGAAAACUUGUUCGUUUAUUCGAACUUGUAA